AUGCAUGCGCGGUGCGCCCGUGCCGACGAGCAACUUGGCAACAGGAAACAGUCCUCCUACGACGAGUGGCCCAGCACUUUCGAGGCGGCGGCGGUGGACGUUUUCUGCCUCGGAUCAGCUUGCCCGCACCGCCGCACGCCGGCGGCCGCGGCGGCGGCGGACGCAUCCCCGAUGGCCUCGGCUGGCUCCGGCGGAUGUGGUAUCUCAGCCUAUGCGACAACGCGUUCGCCGGCAAGAUACCUGACGUGCUCCGCAAUUGCACCGCCCUCGACGUCGCGUACCUCAACAACAACAACCUCGAUUGUCGGCGGCGUUCCACGGUGGCUCGACGCGUUGCCGAAUCUCAUGGUGCUCCGGCUCAGCCACAACUCGAUCUCCGGCCACAUCCCGCCAUCGCUGGCGAACCUCACGAAGAUCGUGCAGCUCGAGUUCGACCAGAACCUUCUGGAAAGUUCCAUCCCCGACGGCUUGCCACGCCUCCCAGCGCUCCGCAUGUUAGCCUUGUCGCAGAACAGCCUCACCGGAGAGAUCCUGCCGAGUUUCUUCAACAUGACGUCGUUGCGAGGCCUCGCACUCGCGAACAACGUGUUCCGCAGGCGUCGGACGCUGCCGCGGAGAGCAUCCGCGCGGGCGCGGGAGACGAUGAGAGGAGCGCCUGCCCCAGGGAGGGGAAGCUCCGCAGGAGCGGGGCGUCCAUCUUGUCAGAGCCGUACGCCGACCGAUGACGGCGGCGCCUGGGAGUUCUUGGACAACCUGACCAACUGCAACGCCUUGGCUGAGAUAUUCCUCGACGGCAACAUGUUCGCCGGCGUGAUGUUGAGCUCCGUCGUGGUUCCAUCCGCCAUUGGCCGAUUGGCGACCUCACGCAGCUACUCAAGCUCGACCUGAGUGGUAACUC
RNAcentral lists this long non-coding RNA (898 nucleotides) under Oryza sativa Indica Group (long-grained rice). Its description in RNAcentral is "lncRNA OsMH63_12G004190". Lineage: Eukaryota; Viridiplantae; Streptophyta; Magnoliopsida; Poales; Poaceae. The record is from RNAcentral.